RNAcentral lists this ribosomal RNA (826 nucleotides) under Vibrio neocaledonicus. RNAcentral's name for it is "bacterial SSU rRNA". It matches the Rfam family "Bacterial small subunit ribosomal RNA", at positions 223 to 1041 of the family's 1533-position model. The record is from RNAcentral. Lineage: Bacteria; Pseudomonadati; Pseudomonadota; Gammaproteobacteria; Vibrionales; Vibrionaceae.
GGAUAUGCCUAGGUGGGAUUAGCUAGUUGGUGAGGUAAGGGCUCACCAAGGCGACGAUCCCUAGCUGGUCUGAGAGGAUGAUCAGCCACACUGGAACUGAGACACGGUCCAGACUCCUACGGGAGGCAGCAGUGGGGAAUAUUGCACAAUGGGCGCAAGCCUGAUGCAGCCAUGCCGCGUGUGUGAAGAAGGCCUUCGGGUUGUAAAGCACUUUCAGUCGUGAGGAAGGUGGUGUAGUUAAUAGCUGCAUCAUUUGACGUUAGCGACAGAAGAAGCACCGGCUAACUCCGUGCCAGCAGCCGCGGUAAUACGGAGGGUGCGAGCGUUAAUCGGAAUUACUGGGCGUAAAGCGCAUGCAGGUGGUUUGUUAAGUCAGAUGUGAAAGCCCGGGGCUCAACCUCGGAAUAGCAUUUGAAACUGGCAGACUAGAGUACUGUAGAGGGGGGUAGAAUUUCAGGUGUAGCGGUGAAAUGCGUAGAGAUCUGAAGGAAUACCGGUGGCGAAGGCGGCCCCCUGGACAGAUACUGACACUCAGAUGCGAAAGCGUGGGGAGCAAACAGGAUUAGAUACCCUGGUAGUCCACGCCGUAAACGAUGUCUACUUGGAGGUUGUGGCCUUGAGCCGUGGCUUUCGGAGCUAACGCGUUAAGUAGACCGCCUGGGGAGUACGGUCGCAAGAUUAAAACUCAAAUGAAUUGACGGGGGCCCGCACAAGCGGUGGAGCAUGUGGUUUAAUUCGAUGCAACGCGAAGAACCUUACCUACUCUUGACAUCCAGAGAACUUUCCAGAGAUGGAUUGGUGCCUUCGGGAACUCUGAGACAGGUGC